This 72-nucleotide transfer RNA is filed under the name Spirochaetia bacterium. Its description in RNAcentral is "tRNA-Gly". It matches the Rfam family "tRNA". Rfam says of the family: Transfer RNA (tRNA) molecules are approximately 80 nucleotides in length. Lineage: Bacteria; Pseudomonadati; Spirochaetota; Spirochaetia. The record is from RNAcentral.
GCGGCUGUCGUAUAACGGUAUUACCCGAGCUUCCCAAGCUCGUGACGAGGGUUCGACUCCCUUCAGCCGCUC